AGCAGCCGCGGUAAUUCCAGCUCCAAUAGCGUAUAUUAAAGUUGUUGCAGUUAAAAAGCUCGUAGUUGAAUUUCGGGGUUCUACCGUUGGUCGGGCAAUAGUCUGUACUGGCGUGUGGAAUUUCUACCUUCUGGGGAACCAUCAUGUUAUUAAUUUAACGUGGUGGGAAACCAGGACCUUUACCUUGAAAAAAUUAGAGUGUUCAAAGCAGGCUUAUGUCUGAAUACAUUAGCAUGGAAUAAUAAAAUAGGACGGCAUGGUUCUAUUUUGUUGGUUUCUAGGAUCACCGUAAUGAUUAAUAGGGAUAGUUGGGGGCAUUAGUAUUCAAUUGUCAGAGGUGAAAUUCUUGGAUUUAU
Molecule: ribosomal RNA, 356 nt
Filed under: uncultured Racocetra
Lineage: Eukaryota; Fungi; Glomeromycota; Glomeromycetes; Diversisporales; Gigasporaceae
Description: SSU rRNA
Rfam family: Eukaryotic small subunit ribosomal RNA
Source: RNAcentral